RNAcentral lists this ribosomal RNA (1201 nucleotides) under uncultured eukaryote. Its description in RNAcentral is "SSU rRNA". It matches the Rfam family "Eukaryotic small subunit ribosomal RNA", at positions 577 to 1805 of the family's 1831-position model. The record is from RNAcentral.
CGGUAAUUCCAGCUCCAAUAGCGUAUAUUAAAGUUGUUGCAGUUAAAAAGCUCGUAGUUGGAUUUCGGAACCGGCCGAUUGGUCCGUCCUCUGGAUCGUGUACUGAUCGGUCUGUUCUUCUUCGCGAAGACCGCGUGUGCCCUUAACUGGGUGGGUGUGGGAUUCGCGACGUCUACUUUGAAAAAAUUAGAGUGUUCAGAGCAGGCAGUCGCUUGAAUAUCUCAGCAUGGAAUAAUAGAAUAGGACUUUGGUCUUAUUUUGUUGGUUUCCGAGACCGAAGUAAUGAUUAAUAGGGACAGUUGGGGGCAUUCGUAUUUCAUUGUCAGAGGUGAAAUUCUUGGAUUUAUGAAAGACGAACUUCUGCGAAAGCAUUUGCCAAGGAUGUUUUCAUUAAUCAAGAACGAAAGUUGGAGGCUCGAAGACGAUCAGAUACCGUCCUAGUUCCAACCAUAAACGAUGCCGUCUGCGGAUCGGAGGUCGCUCAUGUAAGGCUCCUUCGGCACGCUAUGAGAAAUCAAAGACUUCGGGUUCCGGGGGGAGUAUGUUCGCAAGAAUGAAACUUAAAGGAAUUGACGGGAGGGCACCACCAGGAGUGGAGCCUGUGGCUUAAUUUGAUUCAACACGGGAAAACUUACCAGGUCCGGGCAUGGGAAGGAUUGACAGAUUGAAAGCUCUUUCUUGAUUCUAUGGGUGGUGGUGCAUGGCCGUUCCUAGUUGGUGGAGUGAUUUGUCUGGUUAAUUCCGUUAACGAACGAGACCUCAGCCUGCUAAAUAGUUGCAGUCUUCUUGAAGGCUUUGCUAACUUCUUAGAGGGACUACUUGAGAAACAACCGAGCGGAAGCUUGAGGCAAUAACAGGUCUGUGAUGCCCUUAGAUGUUCUGGGCCGCACACGGGCUACACUGGUGUUUUCAACAAGCCUUACUACCUUAACCGAAAGGUUUGGGUAAUCUUUGAAAUAACACCGUGCUUGGGAUAGACUAUUGCAAUUUUUAGUCUUCAACGAGGAAUUCCUAGUAAGCGCAAGUCAUCAGCUUGCAUUGAUUACGUCCCUGCCCUUUGUACACACCGCCCGUCGCUCCUACCGAUUGGAUGAUUCGGUAAGCUCUUGGGAUUGAUUGACUCGUACUCAUAGUUCGUUUUAUGACUAACUUGAUCAAACCUAAUCAUCUAGAGGAAGGAGAAGUCGUAACAAGGUAGCCG